Molecule: ribosomal RNA, 497 nt
Filed under: uncultured bacterium
Lineage: Bacteria
Description: partial 16S ribosomal RNA
Rfam family: Bacterial small subunit ribosomal RNA
Source: RNAcentral
GAUGAACGCUGGCGGCGUGCCUAAUACAUGCAAGUAGAACGCUGAAGGAAGGAGCUUGCUCUUUCCGGAUGAGUUGCGAACGGGUGAGUAACGCGUAGGUAACCUGCCUGGUAGCGGGGGAUAACUAUUGGACACGAUAGCUAAUACCGCAUAACAGUAGAUGUUGCAUGAUAUCUACUUAAAAGGUGCAAUUGCACCACUACCAGAUGGACCUGCGUUGUAUUAGCUAGUUGGUGAGGUAACGGCUCACCAAGGAGACGAUACAUAGCCGACCUGCGAGGGUGAUCGGCCACACUGGGACUGAGACACGGCCCAGACUCCUGCGGGAGGCAGCAGUAGGGAAUCUUCGGCAAUGGACGGAAGUCUGACCGAGCAACGCCGCGUGAGUGAAGAAGGUUUUCGGAUCGUAAAGCUCUGUUGUAAGAGAAGAACGAGUGUGAGAGUGGAAAGUUCACACUGUGACGGUAUCUGACCAGAAAGAGACGGCUAACUACGUG